Molecule: ribosomal RNA, 612 nt
Filed under: Triticum aestivum (bread wheat)
Lineage: Eukaryota; Viridiplantae; Streptophyta; Magnoliopsida; Poales; Poaceae
Description: partial small subunit ribosomal RNA
Source: RNAcentral
AUGGUUAAGCAAAAGAUUGUCCUCAAGUUGGCUCUGGAUGAUGAGAGGAAGAGGAGGAAGGCCUUCAAGGCUGCCGUUGGCAUGUCAGGCGUGACAUCCGCGACGAUGGAGGGGGACAAGAUCAUCAUCGUCGGGGACGGCGUCGACCCGAUCACGCUGACCACGAUGCUCCGGCGCAGCCUGGGCUACGCAGAGCUCCUCAGCGUGUCCUCCGGUGACGACAAGAAGAAGGACGGCUACGGCGCCGCCUACGGGUACGGCGGCAGCGAGAAGAAGGACGGCUACGGCGCCGCCUACGGGUACGGCGGCAGCGAGAAGAAGGACGGCUACGGCGCAGCCUAUGGGUACGGCGGCGGCGAGAAGAAGAAGGACGGCUACGGGUACGGCGGCGCCGACAGCAGCGGGAGCGGCAUGAGCUUCGGCGGCAAGGAGGGUGGCGGCUCCAAAGGUGGCGGAGGCGGCGGCGGAUACUCUCAGAACGCGGUUGCGCCGGUCAUGUACCCCGCGUAUCAGCAGUACAACGCCAUGGCGUCCUACCCGGUUUACUCGUCCUACCCUGCUCCUCCUGCUUAUCAGCAUCAAGAACAGGAUCCCGGCUGCAGCAUUAUGUAG